This 71-nucleotide transfer RNA is filed under the name Cordylochernes scorpioides. RNAcentral describes it as "tRNA-Gly". Lineage: Eukaryota; Metazoa; Arthropoda; Arachnida; Pseudoscorpiones; Chernetidae. The record is from RNAcentral.
UGCAUCGUACGGGAAUCGAACCCGGGCAGCCCGCGUGGCAGGCGAGCAUUCUACCACUGAACCACCGAUGA